AUGGUGGGCUUGGGCGUGGGCGUCGGGACGGGGGCGUUGGGCUCCGUCAUCGGCAAGCUCGCCACCUUGCUCGGCCACGAGUACACGAUGCUCAAGAGGGUACGCAAGGACAUCGCCUUCCUCGAGCGUGAGCUCCGCAGGAUGCAGAUCCUGGUGGACACACUGGCAGACAUGGAAGAGCUCGACGAGCUGGCCAAGGACUGGAAGGGCACCAUGCGCGACCUCAGCUACGACAUGGAGGAGUGCAUCCACCGCUUCAUGCUCCGUCUUGGGAAUGGUGACGCCAAGCCCAGGUUCAGGAAGAAGACAGUGCGCCAGCUCAAGACUCUCUUUGAGCGCCAUGGAAUCGGCAGCCAGAUCAAGGAGCUCAAGGCCCGCGUUGAGGAGGAGAACCGACGGCGGCAGAGGCUAAACCUCGACAAGUAUAUUGUAAGUCCAACAAGGGUCGUGGCAAUAGAUCCCCGGUUAGCUGCGUUCCACGGAGUGGCCAAGGGCUUGGUGGCCAUAGACGGCCUUAGGGACCAGGUUAUCUCUUGGUUGACGGAGGAGAGCGAGCAGCUCAAGGUGGUCGGCUCUAUCAAAUGCUACCUUUGA
This 594-nucleotide ribosomal RNA is filed under the name Triticum aestivum (bread wheat). Its description in RNAcentral is "partial small subunit ribosomal RNA". The record is from RNAcentral. Lineage: Eukaryota; Viridiplantae; Streptophyta; Magnoliopsida; Poales; Poaceae.